This 429-nucleotide microRNA precursor is filed under the name Medicago truncatula (barrel medic). Its description in RNAcentral is "miR2678 stem-loop (mtr-MIR2678)". Lineage: Eukaryota; Viridiplantae; Streptophyta; Magnoliopsida; Fabales; Fabaceae. The record is from miRBase by way of RNAcentral.
AUCACGUAGAUCCCAACCAAAGAUACUCGCCACUUGUUUUAGAGCUUCUCUCCAUCUUGACACCAUCUGAGAGUCUUGUCGGAAUCUUUGUUCAUGUUUGGCAAAAGCUUCAGAAUAAAUCCCACUUUGCUUUCGAACCUCAGAAGGAUCAACAUCAUAGAAAACAAGAAGAACAUGUUUUUCAGAUUCCUCAAUGCAUUCACAAAUCUUCUCUAAUUCUUGCAAGCACCAUGUCGAGGAAGCAUAAUUUCUUGAGAAGACGGCAACAAAAACAUGAGAUCCUUGGAUUGCUCGAAGAAGCUCAGGCCCUAUGGAUUCACCUUUUUGAAGAUUUGUAUCAUCCCGAAAUACAAAAAUACCUUUUGUUUCAAAGGCAUCAAAAAGAAAAUCAAUGAAAUUGUUGCGAGUGUCUUCACCUCUGAAAGUGAC